AAUAUGAAAAAGAAGUGAUAGCCUUGAAUUCAAAAGAAUUGCAAAACUUUGUUUGAUGAUUUGAAAAAGUCCUCUAGUCCACUAUAUUUCAAAAGGGUUUGGUUUAUGAAAAUGUUCUUUGACUAAUAGGGGGAUCUAACUCCAAGUUUUUCUACUACUUAUCCAAAAUGCCACCAUCCACCCUAGCCAAGCCACGUUAUAACCCUAAAAG
RNAcentral lists this long non-coding RNA (211 nucleotides) under Trifolium pratense (red clover). RNAcentral describes it as "long non-coding RNA (TPRA_LNC007438)". Lineage: Eukaryota; Viridiplantae; Streptophyta; Magnoliopsida; Fabales; Fabaceae. The record is from RNAcentral.